AAUACAUAUUAAAUAACUUAUCGCUCAAAAUAUGAAAGUUUUUUGUCUGUUGUCCAAUCGAUUGGUGAUUAAUUUUUCAACGCAGAAACCUUGACUUACUGCACAAGUACAUGGCUGCGGUGAGGGCGGAUAUGAAUGCGCGUUGGCCAACCCUUACUGAUAUCCGCCAAAAGGAAGAGCUUUUCCCCCUGCCCCUGCGCUUCCAGCAAAUUACGAAGUAUAAUUUCCACAACAGUAACAGAAGUAUAGAGUUAAUAAGAAAUAUCGACAUAGUUAGCAGACAUAAAGCACACAACUACACGCCAAUGGCACUACCA
Scaptodrosophila lebanonensis is the source of this 317-nucleotide long non-coding RNA. RefSeq lists it as uncharacterized. The transcript is spliced from 3 exons. NCBI's taxonomy places the organism in Eukaryota, Metazoa, Arthropoda, Insecta, Diptera, Drosophilidae. The record is from RefSeq and is a predicted model, not a curated record.